UGGCUCUCGCAUCGAUGAAGAACGCAGCGAAUUGCGAUAAGUAAUGUGAAUUGCAGAAUUCAGUGAAUCAUCGAAUCUUUGAACGCACCUUGCGCCCCGUGGUAUUCCGCGGGGCACGCCUGUUUGAGUGUCACGUGAAACCUCACCCAGUAGAUGUCAAAGUCUCCUGCGGUGGACUUGGACCGUGCCGGGCAACCGGCUCGUCCUGAAAUGCAUUAGCCUGGUCGUCGAGACCGCAGUGGCCGUGGUGUGAUAAUCUAUCUGCGCCUGUAAGUGCCCUGCCCUCUCUUUUGACGGGCUCACAAUCGUCCUUCAUCGGACAACACCUGACAGUUUGGCCUCAAAUCAGGCGGGACUACCCGCUGA
Molecule: unclassified non-coding RNA, 366 nt
Filed under: uncultured fungus
Lineage: Eukaryota; Fungi
Description: partial contains 5.8S ribosomal RNA and internal transcribed spacer 2
Rfam family: 5.8S ribosomal RNA (bases 1-133)
Source: RNAcentral